Molecule: ribosomal RNA, 377 nt
Filed under: uncultured bacterium
Lineage: Bacteria
Description: bacterial SSU rRNA
Rfam family: Bacterial small subunit ribosomal RNA
Source: RNAcentral
AACGAACGCUGGCGGCAGGCCUAACACAUGCAAGUCGAACGCUCGUAGCAAUACGAGAGUGGCAGACGGGUGAGUAACACGUGGGAACCUUCCCUAUGGUUCGGAAUAGCCCAGGGAAACUUGGGGUAAUACCGGAUAAGCCCUUCGGGGAAAGGAUUUAUCGCCAUUGGAUGGGCCCGCCGUCGGAUUAGCUAGUUGGUGGGGUAACGGCCCACCAAGGCGACGAUCCGUAGCUGGUCUGAGAGGAUGAUCAGCCACACUGGGACUGAGACACGGCCCAGACUCCUACGGGAGGCAGCAGUGGGGAAUAUUGGACAAUGGGCGCAAGCCUGAUCCAGCCGUGCCGCGUGAGUGACGAAGGUCUUCGGAUUGUAAAG